This 251-nucleotide ribosomal RNA is filed under the name uncultured bacterium. RNAcentral describes it as "partial 16S ribosomal RNA". It matches the Rfam family "Bacterial small subunit ribosomal RNA", at positions 524 to 776 of the family's 1533-position model. The record is from RNAcentral.
UACGUAGGGUGCAAGCGUUGUCCGGAAUUAUUGGGCGUAAAGAGCUCGUAGGCGGUCUGUUGCGUCGGCUGUGAAAACCCGGGGCUCAACCCCGGGCCUGCAGCCGAUACGGGCAGACUAGAGUUCGGCAGGGUAGCGGAAUUCCCAGUGUAGCGGUGAAAUGCGUAGAUAUUGGGAGGAACACCAGUGGCGAAGGCGGCUACCUGGACCGGUUCUGACGCUGAGGCGCGAAAGCGUGGGAAGCAAACAGG